This 982-nucleotide ribosomal RNA is filed under the name Psychrobacter sp. TB 40. RNAcentral describes it as "bacterial SSU rRNA". It matches the Rfam family "Bacterial small subunit ribosomal RNA", at positions 60 to 1036 of the family's 1533-position model. Lineage: Bacteria; Pseudomonadati; Pseudomonadota; Gammaproteobacteria; Moraxellales; Moraxellaceae. The record is from RNAcentral.
AGUCGAGCGGAAACGAUGGUAGCUUGCUACCAGGCGUCGAGCGGCGGACGGGUGAGUAAUACUUAGGAAUCUACCUAGUAGUGGGGGAUAGCUCGGGGAAACUCGAAUUAAUACCGCAUACGACCUACGGGAGAAAGGGGGCAGUUUACUGCUCUCGCUAUUAGAUGAGCCUAAGUCGGAUUAGCUAGAUGGUGGGGUAAAGGCCUACCAUGGCGACGAUCUGUAGCUGGUCUGAGAGGAUGAUCAGCCACACCGGGACUGAGACACGGCCCGGACUCCUACGGGAGGCAGCAGUGGGGAAUAUUGGACAAUGGGGGAAACCCUGAUCCAGCCAUGCCGCGUGUGUGAAGAAGGCCUUUUGGUUGUAAAGCACUUUAAGCAGUGAAGAAGACUCCGUGGUUAAUACCCACGGACGAUGACAUUAGCUGCAGAAUAAGCACCGGCUAACUCUGUGCCAGCAGCCGCGGUAAUACAGAGGGUGCAAGCGUUAAUCGGAAUUACUGGGCGUAAAGGGAGCGUAGGUGGCUCGAUAAGUCAGAUGUGAAAUCCCCGGGCUCAACCUGGGAACUGCAUCUGAUACUGUUGAGCUAGAGUAUGUGAGAGGAAGGUAGAAUUCCAGGUGUAGCGGUGAAAUGCGUAGAGAUCUGGAGGAAUACCGAUGGCGAAGGCAGCCUUCUGGCAUAAUACUGACACUGAGGCUCGAAAGCGUGGGUAGCAAACAGGAUUAGAUACCCUGGUAGUCCACGCCGUAAACGAUGUCUACUAGUCGUUGGGUCCCUUGAGGACUUAGUGACGCAGCUAACGCAAUAAGUAGACCGCCUGGGGAGUACGGCCGCAAGGUUAAAACUCAAAUGAAUUGACGGGGGCCCGCACAAGCGGUGGAGCAUGUGGUUUAAUUCGAUGCAACGCGAAGAACCUUACCUGGUCUUGACAUAUCUAGAAUCCUGCAGAGAUGCGGGAGUGCCUUCGGGAAUUAGAUACA